GACGAACGCUGGCGGCGUGCCUAAUACAUGCAAGUAGAACGCUGAAGGAGGAGCUUGCUUCUCCGGAUGAGUUGCGAACGGGUGAGUAACGCGUAGGUAUCCUGCCUGGUAGCGGGGGAUAACUAUUGGAAACGAUAGCUAAUACCGCAUAACAGUAGAUGUUGCAUGACAUUUGCUUAAAAGGUGCAAUUGCAUCACUACCAGAUGGACCUGCGUUGUAUUAGCUAGUUGGUGAGGUAACGGCUCACCAAGGCGACGAUACAUAGCCGACCUGAGAGGGGGAUCGGCCACACUGGGACUGAGACACGGCCCAGACUCCUACGGGAGGCAGCAGUAGGGAAUCUUCGGCAAUGGACGGAAGUCUGACCGAGCAACGCCGCGUGAGUGAAGAAGGUUGUCGGAUCGUAAAGCUCGGUUGUAAGAGAAGAACGAGUGUGAGAGUGGAAAGUUCACACUGUGACGGUAUCUUACCAGAAAGGGACGGCUAACUACGUG
Molecule: ribosomal RNA, 495 nt
Filed under: uncultured bacterium
Lineage: Bacteria
Description: partial 16S ribosomal RNA
Rfam family: Bacterial small subunit ribosomal RNA
Source: RNAcentral